GACGAACGCUGGCGGCGUGCCUAAUACAUGCAAGUCGAGCGAGCUUGCCUAGAUGAUUUUAGUGCUUGCACUAAAUGAAACUAGAUACAAGCGAGCGGCGGACGGGUGAGUAACACGUGGGUAACCUGCCCAAGAGACUGGGAUAACACCUGGAAACAGAUGCUAAUACCGCAUAACAUACGGAUGUCGCAUGGCAACCGUAUCAAAGAUUAUAUCGCUUGAAGAUGGACUCGCGUCCGAUUAGCCAGUUGGCGGGGUAACGGCCACCAAAGCGACGAUCGGUAGCCGGACUGAGAGGUUGAACGGCCACAUUGGGACUGAGACACGGCCCAG
RNAcentral lists this ribosomal RNA (333 nucleotides) under uncultured bacterium. Its description in RNAcentral is "bacterial SSU rRNA". It matches the Rfam family "Bacterial small subunit ribosomal RNA", at positions 28 to 334 of the family's 1533-position model. The record is from RNAcentral.